Molecule: long non-coding RNA, 236 nt
Filed under: Setaria italica (foxtail millet)
Lineage: Eukaryota; Viridiplantae; Streptophyta; Magnoliopsida; Poales; Poaceae
Description: long non-coding RNA (SITA_LNC002250)
Source: RNAcentral
AAAAAACUAGCAAGGAGAUUGUCACCACAGCUGAUGACCAGUAGAACAGACGAUCAAUAGCAUCGAUUGACUGUUUUUCAAACAUUGGUCAGAAAAGAGUACCAUGAUAUCGACAAGAAAGAUACCGUCACUACUUCCAAACUUUUACUAUUCACUCAGUAAAUCGAAGACUUAAAUUAUUUAUGAAUGAAAACCACGUUUAUUUUGUUUAGUUGAAGUCCUUUCAAAGUCACACU